RNA transcript from Silurus meridionalis, 969 nucleotides. It is a transcript of the gene named diamine acetyltransferase 1-like, with no coding region annotated. The record is from RefSeq and is a predicted model, not a curated record. The transcript is spliced from 7 exons. NCBI's taxonomy places the organism in Eukaryota, Metazoa, Chordata, Actinopteri, Siluriformes, Siluridae.
CGCGCUCCACCGCUCUCCGCCCCAUGUAGCUCUGCGCGCAUUAACGUGGUGUUUGUAUCUCCAGCAGUACCGGUGGAACCGAACCGGUCCGGACUCAGCGGUGAGGGUUAAUCGGCCCCCUGGGGGAGCGGAUGAAGAAACACAUUUUGCUCAUCUUCACAUACCGAGGACUCCUCAGAAAAGGAAGAAAAAUAAAAAGAGAAAAUGGCCAAUUUCGUGUUACGCAAAGCGGAGCGCGAGGACGUGGCGGAUAUACUGCGACUCAUAAAGGAACUCGCCAAGUAUGAGGAGAUGGAGGAACAGGUCAUUUUGACUGAAAAAGAUCUUUUGGAGGAUGGUUUCGGGGAUCAUCCUUUCUAUCAGUGCGUCGUGGCUGAAGUGCCGAGAGAGCAGCAGAGCGCCAGUGGUCACACAGUGGUCGGUUUCGCCAUGUACUACUUCACCUACGACCCCUGGAUCGGGAAGCUGCUGUACCUGGAGGACUUUUAUGUCAUGAAGGAGUUCCGAGGUUUUGGAAUCGGGUCAGAAAUCCUAAGGUUCCUGAGUCAUACGGCCGUGAAGUCUCGCUGCAGCAGUCUGCACUUCAUCGUGGCCGAGUGGAACAAACCAUCCAUCGAGUUUUAUAAACGUCGCGGCGCGAAUGAUCUCUCGCUGGAGGAGGGUUGGAGGCUUUUCAAGAUCGACAAGGAGAACCUGAUCAAAAUAAUGUCCGAGGAGUGAAAAGAGAAAAAGAACGCGUUGUAUAUUUAUUCAACAUUUAAUUCAUACAUAGAGUUUCAUCUGUGACUGUAAUGAAUCUACACACAUACACACACACACACACUGUGGGGGUGUAUGUAAGUAUGUAUGUUUAUAUAUAUACUCUAACAGUGUGCACUUCUGUUAAUAUUUCUGUUUUGCAUGUUUAUAAACUUCACUCUUUGUCAUAAAUACAUACAAUAAACACACACUUGCUCAGUUCUUGAUAAA